CUUUCGUAGCCAUGAAGUUAAUGGCUAGAGUGACUAGACCCGUAACAUUACCAUAUAUCAUUUGAACUGAAAUUUGUUUGUUCUGAGGAUUAUUUUUCAAGAUAUCAAAACGAAGAUAAGUGGCUGCACAAACUUUUUUUAGCGAAUAUAUCGUUAUGUUAUCGGGUCUAGCACUCUAUCCACUGAUUUCAUGACCACGAGCCUC
Molecule: microRNA precursor, 205 nt
Organism: Arabidopsis thaliana (thale cress)
Lineage: Eukaryota; Viridiplantae; Streptophyta; Magnoliopsida; Brassicales; Brassicaceae
Rfam family: MIR4240 microRNA precursor family
Source: Rfam